RNAcentral lists this long non-coding RNA (550 nucleotides) under Homo sapiens (human). RNAcentral describes it as "non-protein coding lnc-SNAPC5-5:1". Lineage: Eukaryota; Metazoa; Chordata; Mammalia; Primates; Hominidae. The record is from RNAcentral.
ACACACUCCCCUGCCUUUUCCCAAGGAAUUUCCAGGAGGACAAGGAGUCAACAAGGCUUUAAACAGGGGAAGGAUGCCAACACCUAGUUUUCCGUAUCCCGGGUGGUGCCUCUACUUAUGGCAAGUGUGUCCAUCAGCAGAAAGAAUAAAUCGCCUCUUGGAACACUUGCCACCUUCCAUCUCGUUUGAUGACGUACACGUUUUCUCCUGAGACAAGCAAGCUCCCACACGGUCAACCCCACACCGGAGCCGAGAACCGGCCUCUCCCCAACUCCUGGACCCCAGGAAAGCUGGCAAAGCGCUGAUCCCCAGAGUGGCAAGAGGCUUAGGGCGGGGAUCCAGACACCCAGGGAAAGAAGUGCUGUCCCAGGACCCCAGCCAAAAGAAGAGACUAGACUCACUGAAGGAGACGAGAAUAAAAGUCCUCUGCUGCGCAGUUCAGCCGCUCCCACAUCCCGCCCCAAUGUGAGAGCGGUACCGGAACCGCCAAACUGAACUGCGCGCCGGACCGGCGACGUCAGGGGUCAUGGCCCCGCCCCGCCGGGACUAU